RNAcentral lists this ribosomal RNA (468 nucleotides) under uncultured bacterium. RNAcentral's name for it is "partial 16S ribosomal RNA". It matches the Rfam family "Bacterial small subunit ribosomal RNA", at positions 28 to 507 of the family's 1533-position model. The record is from RNAcentral.
GACGAACGCUGGCGGCGUGCUUAACACAUGCAAGUCGAACGGAAAGGCCCUGCUUUUGUGGGGUGCUCGAGUGGCGAACGGGUGAGUAACACGUGAGUAACCUGCCCUUGACUUUGGGAUAACUUCAGGAAACUGGGGCUAAUACCGGAUAGGAGCUCCUGCUGCAUGGUGGGGGGUGGAAAGUUUCGGCGGUUGGGGCUGGACUCGCGGCUUAUCAGCUUGUUGGUGGGGUAGUGGCUUACCAAGGCUUUGACGGGUAGCCGGCCUGGGAGGGUGACCGGCCACAUUGGGACUGCGAUACGGCCCAGACUGCUACGGGAGGCAGCAGUGGGGAAUAUUGCACAAUGGGCGGAAGCCUGAUGCAGCAACGCCGCGUGCGGGAUGACGGCCUUCGGGUUGUAAACCGCUUUCGCCUGUGACGAAGCGUGAGUGACGGUAAUGGGUAAAGAAGCACCGGCUAACUACGUG